RNA transcript from Homo sapiens (human), 1777 nucleotides. It is a transcript of the gene named HECT and RLD domain containing E3 ubiquitin protein ligase 2 pseudogene, with no coding region annotated. The record is from RefSeq and is marked validated. NCBI's taxonomy places the organism in Eukaryota, Metazoa, Chordata, Mammalia, Primates, Hominidae.
CCCCCCCUUAAUAGGUGUGGACGUCUUCCUGAACAGCCUGAAGCAGACGGUGGUGACCCUGGCAAGCAGCGCAGACGUGCUGAGCACCGAGCAGUCGGCCUCCCAGGCCAUGCUGCAGAGCGGCUGGUCCAUGCUGUUGCCCACCGCUGAGAAGCAGGCCCGGGCACUCUGCUCUCCUGCCCUGCGGAGUUUCAGGCAAUGAAGUGAGCAUAAGUCCAGGUCAUCGAUUGGUGAUUGAUCUUCUGGUGGGCAGCUUGAUGGCUGCUGGAGGGUUGGAGUCAGCCUUACACGCAGCCAUUACUGCAGAGAUCCAGGAUACAAAAAAAGAAGCACGGAAGGAAAAAGAAAUUUAUGAACAGGAAGCAAAUGCCUCAACAUUUCAUAGAAGGAGGACUCCAUUGGAUAAAGGCCUUAUUAAUACGGGGAUCUGUGAGUCUUCUGGCAAACAGUGUUUGCCUCUGGUUCAGCUCAUACAACAGCUUCUUAGGUAAAUCAUAUUAGCUGUAUUGUAUUGUGUUUUAUUUAUUUACUUUUUUGUUUUUUGAGACAGAGUUUCGCUCUUGUUGCCCAGGCCGGAGUGCAGUGGUGCGAUCUUGACUCACUGCAACCUCCGCCUCCCAGGUUCAAGUAAUUCCUCUGCCUCAGCCUCUCGAGCAGCUGGGAUUACAGGCAUGCGCCACCAUGCCCCACUAAUUUUGUAGUUUUGUUAGAGACAGGGUUUCUUCAUGUUGGUCAGGCCGGUCUUGAACUCCCGACCUCAGGUGGUCCAUCCACUUUGGCCUCCCAAAAUGUUGGGAUUACAGGCAUUAGCCACCACGCCUGGCCUAUUUAUUUACUUAUUAAUGGUGUUUUUUUUUUGUUUUUUUUUUUUUUUGAGAUGGAGUCUUGCUCUAUCGUCCAGGCUGGAGUGCAGUGUCACGAUCUUGGCUCACUGCAACCCCCGCCUCCUGGGUUCAAGCUAUUCUCCUGCCUCAGCCUCCCGAGUAGCUGGGACUACAGGCGUCUGCAACCACACCUGGCUGAUUUUUGUAUUUUUAGUAGAGAUGGGGUUUUACCAUAUUGGUCAGGCUGGUCUCAAAUUCCUGACGUCAGGUGACCCACCUGCCUUGGCCUCUCAAAAUGUUGGGAUUACAGGUGUUAGCCACUGUGCCUGGCCUGUAUUGUAUUUUAAUAGGUGAUUAUUGGUUUUCAUAUUAAGAUAGUGAAAUCUAGCGCAAGGAUCUCAAAAAUUUGUUUGAUGAUUGAAGGAAUAUUCUGAAAAUUACCUAGUAUAGAUGUUAGGAUAAAGAGCAGACCCUUUUCAAUAUAGGUGAGAGGAGAAGUUGGAGGGUGUGAUGAUACUCAAAAGUUUUUCACUGAAGAGAAAUUGGGGCGUGCAGUAAACAUGUAAAAAGAUUCUUACUAAUAAGCAGGUGGAUGCAAAUGAAAAUCAUCAUGGAAGGUUAUUUUUAAAACUGGUUCUAUCAUUGCCUCACUUUAUAUAUUACAGAGUUAUACAUACUACUUUGUAAGAUAACUUUUCUUUUCAAAACUGAAGUCAAUGUGAUAGAAUGGUGAGCAUUAUUUUGGAAGGCCAGACUAGGAGGAGGUGGGAGGAAGAAGUCAGACUCAGCCUGUGAACAGACGCUAACCUUGGCAGAAGCCAAAACAGUCAGACAGUGUUGUCUAAAAAUGAUCAUUCAAGAAGAGCGAAACAGCAAGGUGAUUUGUGAAAGAGAUUUAUUAGAAAAUGAAACACAUUUAUACCUCUGUUCAAUAAAAAUCUGCUUUUCGUCAA